GGGGCCUUAGCUCAGCUGGGAGAGCGCCUGCUUUGCACGCAGGAGGUCAGCGGUUCGAUCCCCUAGGCUCCA
Molecule: transfer RNA, 72 nt
Filed under: Streptococcus pneumoniae GA17371
Lineage: Bacteria; Bacillati; Bacillota; Bacilli; Lactobacillales; Streptococcaceae
Description: tRNA-Ala
Rfam family: tRNA
About the family: Transfer RNA (tRNA) molecules are approximately 80 nucleotides in length. Their secondary structure includes four short double-helical elements and three loops (D, anti-codon, and T loops). Further hydrogen bonds mediate the characteristic L-shaped molecular structure. tRNAs have two regions of fundamental functional importance: the anti-codon, which is responsible for specific mRNA codon recognition, and the 3' end, to which the tRNAs corresponding amino acid is attached (by aminoacyl-tRNA synthetases). tRNAs cope with the degeneracy of the genetic code in two manners: having more than one tRNA (with a specific anti-codon) for a particular amino acid; and 'wobble' base-pairing, i.e. permitting non-standard base-pairing at the 3rd anti-codon position.
Source: RNAcentral